RNAcentral lists this ribosomal RNA (17 nucleotides) under Masdevallia scandens. Its description in RNAcentral is "partial 26S ribosomal RNA". The record is from RNAcentral. Lineage: Eukaryota; Viridiplantae; Streptophyta; Magnoliopsida; Asparagales; Orchidaceae.
CUUGGAAUGCGACCCCA